GCGCCGCUAGCUCAAUUGGCAGAGCAACUGACUCUUAAUCAGUAGGUUCCAGGUUCGAUUCCUGGGCGGCGCA
This 73-nucleotide transfer RNA is filed under the name Gemmatimonadales bacterium. RNAcentral's name for it is "tRNA-Lys". It matches the Rfam family "tRNA". Rfam says of the family: Transfer RNA (tRNA) molecules are approximately 80 nucleotides in length. The record is from RNAcentral. Lineage: Bacteria; Pseudomonadati; Gemmatimonadota; Gemmatimonadia; Gemmatimonadales.